UUUAAUGUUACAGUUUGUAUCAUGGUUAAUUUAAACAUUCGUUCAGUGAUAAAGAUCUAGGCCAUUUAUCCUUCAGCUGUCAGGGAGCAAGUUUGGACCAAUGAUGAGUAUCCUGGGGUGUCUGAAUCAAUGAUUUUGAUUAAACCCUAUAACUCUGAGGUCAGAAACCUAGUUAAUGCCUAUGUGGUUAAUCAGCUUCCAGCAGAGAAUAACCGUAAGACAGCAGACUUUACUCAUUUUCUAAGAAACAACAUCUUGGCAGUUAGUUCUGUGUGUAAAGACCGUAGACAGAAAUAAUGAACACAAAGCCGAUUUAAUCAUUCUCUAAUCCGGAAGACCUGGCUGAUAAUUCUGGGACUAAGAAGCGUAAAAACUUAUAUAUAGUGAACUACAGCUUGGCUGACUCAGUCAUUAGCC
Long non-coding RNA from Lontra canadensis (Northern American river otter), 417 nucleotides. RefSeq lists it as uncharacterized. NCBI's taxonomy places the organism in Eukaryota, Metazoa, Chordata, Mammalia, Carnivora, Mustelidae. The record is from RefSeq and is a predicted model, not a curated record. The transcript has 4 exons.